Molecule: long non-coding RNA, 2925 nt
Organism: Eriocheir sinensis (Chinese mitten crab)
Lineage: Eukaryota; Metazoa; Arthropoda; Malacostraca; Decapoda; Varunidae
Exons: 2
Source: RefSeq, a predicted model, not a curated record
UAACACCUUGAGACAAAAGAAAGAGGCUUGUAAGGACUCAAACAGUUUCAAAUAUAGAAUCAAAAUAACAAUAAGAACUUUAACUGGACUUUUAGUGAGGUCAAUGAUACCAUGAGACAAAGAUGAGAGAAGGAUUCACAGAGUUUAAAAUCUAGAAGAAACACAAUAUGAAGCUUUUCAGUGAGACCUUGAGACAGAGUUAAAAGGUUGGCUCGGAGGGACUCAACACAACCACCCGAAGAUCAUCCUUACAGUAGCGCAACACCAGGAGACGGCGGAACAUGAGCCAUGGUGGCGUCACCCUUAAGUACGUACGCUAUACACAGUUCUCCAAAAUAUUACGAUUACGAAGCUGUACACUCUCCACGUCACGCUCACUCGGCGGCGGACUUGCCCUAGAUUGGCGACUUAAUUUUUUUUUUGUUGCUUUGUCGGAGACGUGAAUGUCGUGUUUUUGUGGCCUACGCUUAUACAGACUACGAAUGAUUGCGAAACGUUUAUUGUUUGCGGGAUUAAAAAGUCUUCAUUCAUCGUCGAACCGAGAGCACACACAUACACAUGUACACACACAGGUAAGAAAACCGUUAAUAAAAUAAGUAAAAUAAAACUAGGAGUAAUAAAAAAGACUUAGAAACUAACGAUUAAGUAUGAAGGCUUAUAGGAAAGUCUCUCUCUCUCUCUCUCUCUCUCUCUCUCUCUCUCUCUCUCUCACCUAAAGCUGUUAUAGUUUGUGCACAGCUUCCAAUAAUUUUUGCCGUCAGUGCAUUCAAAAUUGUACGCUUAAAGACUCCUAAUAACCACAGACAUUAGUUUUGUGAAUCCAGAGAAAACUUUUUGUGCAAUUAUGAAUGCUAAAACAACAACAAAAAACAACAAUAACAAGAAUAAAACUACAAUAAACUAAAGAAAUAGCUAACCAAAAGGAACAAACUCAACAACGAAAAUAUCACAAACCUAAAGGACUCCAGAGAAAACUUUUUGUGGAAUUAUGAAUGCUAAAAAAACAAACAAAAAACAACAACAACAAAAAUAAGACUACAAUAAACUAAAGAAAUAGCCAACCAAAACCGAAAGGAACAAACGCAACAACAAAAAUAUCACAAACCUAAAGGAAUGACUAACGAAACACAGCAACCGGAGGAACAUAAAUGAAGCGCUAUAAAAACAACAACAAUCAACUACAGGAACACAUCAAAUACUAGAGGAAAAAUAAUGUAGAGAGUCUUAACUAAAGGAACAUUUGAAUUAUUACUAUGUCAUUUUGUGCGGAAUCAUAACUGUUUCGUGCGUAGAGAAAGCAUUUGGGGGCGUACACUAUAGCUGCACAUGGCCUCAGCGCUCGUCUCUGUAUCACUGACCCCUGAGCAACGUUGCCAAAUUGUCGUACACUGAACAUUGCAUUUAUAAUUUUUAGGCUCCAUGACUGUCGUAACCACAAAAUAACGCUAGGAAAUUAAAGUUAGCGUUAAAACUGUUAAAUAUUGAUGGGCUUCGUUCUCUUUUGCUAUAGUUACCGGGCGGAAACAACAAAAAAUGCAAUGCGCUGAGUACGACAAUUUGAACGCUGCCCUUGAGCCCGUGGUGGAAGAGAACACACUAAUAUAGAGAAGCUAAAUCAGAUACAAGACCCAGACCACAAGACCACAUCAGGAAGUGCCGAUUCAAAGACCAGACUUCCACAAUCUACCCGAACAUUACCCUGGGAGCAAGUGUCACAUCCAGGGUUACCAGUUUGCCUCCCCUAGGUUUCCCCAGGUACCCAUUAUCGACCUGCCCGAAAGGAGGUUGAAUAGCUGGGUAGAGUGAGCACCAGUCUCCUUGGGCCGGGAUUCGAACCUGGACCCACGCGAGCUAAUCAUGUGGCUAUUGAGGGUCGGAAAAUAGAAAGGGAUAUGUUGGGAAAUUAAGUAAUGCUAUGUUAAGUAAUGUCAAGUAAUGCUCUUAAGUAGUGCAGUGCUGUGUGAAGCUGUUAGGUAGUGCUGAGUGAUGGAUGUUAUGUGGCUGGGAAAGUAAUGUUUGUGUGUGUGUUUGUUAUGGGAAGGGAGUGGGGUGGAAAGAGGUGAUGUUUGUGUGUGUAUUUGUGGGUUUGUUUUAGGAGUGGAGUGGAGUAGAAGGAGAUGUUUGUGUGUUUGUCUGUUCGUUUGAGUGUUUGUUUUGGGAAGGGAGUGAGGUGGAAGGAGGUGAUGUUAGUGUGUGUGUUUGUCUGUCUGUUUGGUGGAGAUGUUUGAAUAUGUGUUUGUUGGAAGAAAUGAAUGGGGGUAGAAGGGUAUGUGUGUGUUUGUGUAUGUGUGUUUAGGGAAAGGAAAGUGAGUGGGAUUUUCUUGAAGUAUGUGUCUGUCGUGUGUUUGUUAAGAGGGGACAGACAUGGGUGAAGGUGUUUGCAUUUGGAAGUUCGUUUUGCUUCCAUCUAUGACUGACUGUUUCCUUGUCUGUUUGUCUAAGCGUCUGUUUACUCUGUCAUGACUAGAGACUAUGGUCGGUAUAAUAAGACAUUUUCGCUUCUCACAUCAUCUAUUUCUAAAGGUCAAAGAGGGGGUCAGUCGGGUUCUAAUGAGUGCUUCUUGAGGUUCGCGGUACAGAAGAAGGGUCAAACUACCACCAGGGUCAUAAAACUAGUCCUGGAAAUGCCCACAACUCCCACGAAAGCCUUGUCAAAUAUGCGUUCUUGGGUGGCGAAAUGUCUUGCGAUACGACCCUAUAUAUCGAGAGCGUGGAGGAACCUUACAAAGCGAGGCAUUCCAAACGCGACCCUGUGCGUGACUAAAACGGUUUGAUAUGACUAGUAAAUAUAAUAAGAGAAGAAGAAGAAGAAGAAGAUUAGGAACAGAAUAAAACUUAAGCAAAUGCAAAUAUGGAGUCCUAAUGCUGUUUUUUUUAAGUCAUACAGCUGGCACACACACACACACACUUACACACACACACACA